CCCAGGAGGACCCCACUAUGGAGGAGACCCAGGAGGACCCCACUAUGGAGGAGACCCAGGAGGACCCCACUAUGGAGGAGACCCAGGAGGACCCCACUAUGGAGGAGACCCAGGAGGACCCCACUAUGGAGGAGACCCAGGAGGACCCCACUGCUGACACAGAGACAGAAAAAAACAAGACUACGUUUUACCAAAAUGAACUUGAGUAACCAAAAUCCUUCUGGGACAACGUCUUGUGGACAGAUGAGACCAAGAUAGAUCUUUUUGGUAAAGCAAAUCAUUCUACUGUUUACCGAAAACGGAAUGAGGCCUACAAAGAAAAGAGCACAGUACCUACAGUGACAUAUGGUGGAGGUCCGUGAUGUUUUGCGGCCUCUGGCACUGGGGGCCUUGAAUGUGUACAAGACAUCAUGAAAUCUGAGGAUUACCAAUGGAUUUUGGGUCGCACUGUACAGUCCAGUGUCAGAAAGCUGGGUUUGUGUCCGAGAUCUUGGGUCUUCCAGCAGGAUAAUGACCCCAAACAUACGUCAAAAAGCCCCAGAAAUGGAGGACAACAAAGCGCUGGAGAGUUCUGAAGUGUCAGCAAUGAGUCCAGAUCUAAAUCCCAUUGAUCACCUGUGGAGAGAUCUUAUAAUUACUGUUGGGAAAAGGAGCCGUCCAAUAAGAGAGACCGGGAGCAGUUUGUAAAGGAAGAGUGGUCCAACAUUCCGGCUGAGAGGUGUAAGCUUAUUGAUGGUUAUAGGAAGAGUGGUCCAACAUUCCGGCUGAGAGGUGUAAGAAGCUUAUUGAUGAUAUAGGAAGAGUGGUCCAACAUUCCGGCUGAGAGGUGUAAGAAGCUUAUUGAUGGUUAUAGGAAGAGUGGUCCAACAUUCCGGCUGAGAGGUGUAAGAAGCUUAUUGAUGAUAUAGGAAGAGUGGUCCAACAUUCCGGCUGAGAGGUGUAAGAAGCUUAUUGAUGGUUAUAGGAA
Long non-coding RNA from Hyla sarda, 967 nucleotides. RefSeq lists it as uncharacterized. Lineage: Eukaryota; Metazoa; Chordata; Amphibia; Anura; Hylidae. The transcript has 2 exons. The record is from RefSeq and is a predicted model, not a curated record.